AUUGAACGCUGGCGGCAUGCUUUACACAUGCAAGUCGAACGGUAACAGGCCUUCGGGUGCUGACGAGUGGCGAACGGGUGAGUAAUGCAUCGGAACGUACCCAGAGGUGGGGGAUAACGCAGCGAAAGCUGUGCUAAUACCGCAUGUGAUCUGAGGAUGAAAGCGGGGGACCGAGCAGCAAUGUUUGGCCUCGCGCCUUUGGAGCGGCCGAUGUCGGAUUAGCUAGUUGGUGGGGUAAAGGCCUACCAAGGCGACGAUCCGUAGCUGGUCUGAGAGGACGACCAGCCACACUGGGACUGAGACACGGCCCAGACUCCUACGGGAGGCAGCAGUGGGGAAUUUUGGACAAUGGGCGCAAGCCUGAUCCAGCAAUGCCGCGUGCGGGAAGAAGGCCUUCGGGUUGUAAACCUCUUUUGGCAGGAACGAAACGGUGUCCGCUAAUACCGGGCGCUAAUGACGGUACCUGCAGAAUAAGCACCGGCUAACUACGUG
RNAcentral lists this ribosomal RNA (492 nucleotides) under uncultured bacterium. Its description in RNAcentral is "partial 16S ribosomal RNA". It matches the Rfam family "Bacterial small subunit ribosomal RNA", at positions 30 to 507 of the family's 1533-position model. The record is from RNAcentral.